Molecule: non-coding RNA, 28 nt
Filed under: Mus musculus (house mouse)
Lineage: Eukaryota; Metazoa; Chordata; Mammalia; Rodentia; Muridae
Source: RNAcentral
UGACAACAGUGUCGUCUCAAACCUUUGG